This 162-nucleotide non-coding RNA is filed under the name uncultured Negativibacillus sp. Its description in RNAcentral is "Lysine riboswitch". It matches the Rfam family "Lysine riboswitch aptamer". Rfam says of the family: Riboswitches are metabolite binding domains within certain messenger RNAs that serve as precision sensors for their corresponding targets. Allosteric rearrangement of mRNA structure is mediated by ligand binding, and this results in modulation of gene expression. Lineage: Bacteria; Bacillati; Bacillota. The record is from RNAcentral.
GUUGGUAGAGGCGCGGAUACUAAGAGUACAGCGGACAUCAAUGGCCGGCAAGCCGUUCGCUGGAAAGGAGUUUUCGCCGAAGUCAAGACUUCUGUUGUCGCGGGGUUUUGGCUGGGGUGCUGCAGAAUAUGCAGCGCACUGUCACGAAAGUGGAGCGCUAUC